CAGAGGAAUCUGUUCUAUAAUCGAUAAUCCACGAUGGACCUUACUUAAAUUUGUUAAUCAGUUUAUAUACCGUCGUUAUUAGAAUAUUUUAUAAGAAAAAUAAUUUUCAGAAAAUUUUAUUAAAUUAUAUAUCAGAUCAAGGUGUAGCUUAUGUUUAAGUAGAAAUGGAUUACAAUAAAAUUAUUUAAACGGAGAUAAAUAUGAAAAAUUUAUUGAAGGUGGAUUUGAUAGUAAAGUUAUAAAGAUUAAUAAUUUGAUUUUAGCUCUAAAAUAUGU
This 276-nucleotide ribosomal RNA is filed under the name Frutillaria calida. Its description in RNAcentral is "partial 12S ribosomal RNA". Lineage: Eukaryota; Metazoa; Arthropoda; Insecta; Diptera; Sphaeroceridae. The record is from RNAcentral.